UCCAGCCCUCGUCGACGAGGGUGUACUGCCAGCCGUUGCGGGCGGCGAAGUCCACGUACUGCUUCUGGCGUUCGAAGUCGCCGGGGCUGGAG
RNAcentral lists this transfer RNA (92 nucleotides) under Saccharothrix coeruleofusca. RNAcentral's name for it is "tRNA-Arg". The record is from RNAcentral. Lineage: Bacteria; Bacillati; Actinomycetota; Actinomycetes; Pseudonocardiales; Pseudonocardiaceae.